This 761-nucleotide ribosomal RNA is filed under the name Citrobacter freundii. Its description in RNAcentral is "partial 23S ribosomal RNA". It matches the Rfam family "Bacterial large subunit ribosomal RNA", at positions 988 to 1748 of the family's 2925-position model. The record is from RNAcentral. Lineage: Bacteria; Pseudomonadati; Pseudomonadota; Gammaproteobacteria; Enterobacterales; Enterobacteriaceae.
ACGGCGGGUGCUAACGUCCGUCGUGAAGAGGGAAACAACCCAGACCGCCAGCUAAGGUCCCAAAGUCAUGGUUAAGUGGGAAACGAUGUGGGAAGGCACAGACAGCCAGGAUGUUGGCUUAGAAGCAGCCAUCAUUUAAAGAAAGCGUAAUAGCUCACUGGUCGAGUCGGCCUGCGCGGAAGAUGUAACGGGGCUAAACCAUGCACCGAAGCUGCGGCAGCGACACUAUGUGUUGUUGGGUAGGGGAGCGUUCUGUAAGCCGUUGAAGGUGUAUCGUGAGGUAUGCUGGAGGUAUCAGAAGUGCGAAUGCUGACAUAAGUAACGAUAAUGCGGGUGAAAAACCCGCACGCCGGAAGACCAAGGGUUCCUGUCCAACGUUAAUCGGGGCAGGGUGAGUCGACCCCUAAGGCGAGGCCGAAAGGCGUAGUCGAUGGGAAACAGGUUAAUAUUCCUGUACUUGGUGUUACUGCGAAGGGGGGACGGAGAAGGCUAUGUUAGCCGGGCGACGGUUGUCCCGGUUUAAGCAUGUAGGCGGAGGUUCCAGGUAAAUCCGGUACCUUAUUAACGCUGAGGUGUGAUGACGAGGCACUACGGUGCUGAAGUAACAAAUGCCCUGCUUCCAGGAAAAGCCUCUAAGCAUCAGGUAACACGAAAUCGUACCCCAAACCGACACAGGUGGUCAGGUAGAGAAUACCAAGGCGCUUGAGAGAACUCGGGUGAAGGAACUAGGCAAAAUGGUGCCGUAACUUCGGGAGAAGGCA